Molecule: ribosomal RNA, 397 nt
Filed under: uncultured bacterium
Lineage: Bacteria
Description: partial 16S ribosomal RNA
Rfam family: Bacterial small subunit ribosomal RNA
Source: RNAcentral
AUACGUAGGGGGCAAGCGUUAUCCGGAUUUACUGGGCGUAAAGGGAGCGUAGACGGAAGGCCAAGUCUGAUGUGAAAGCCCGCGGCUCAACUGCGGGACUGCAUUGGAAACUGGUCAUCUGGAGUGCAGGAGGGGGAAGCGGAAUUCCUAGUGUAGCGGGGAAAUGCGUAUAUAUUAGGAGGAACACCGGGGGUGAAGGCGGCUUACUGGACUGUAACUGACGUUGAGGCUCGAAAGCGCGGGGAGCAAACAGGAUUAGAUACCCGGGUAGUCCACGCCGUAAACGAUGAAUACUAGGUGUCGGGUUUCUAUAGAGAUUCGGUGCCGCAGCAAACGCAAUAAGUAUUCCACCUGGGGAGUACGGUCGCAAGAAUGAAACUCAAAGGAAUUGACGGGU